This 249-nucleotide ribosomal RNA is filed under the name uncultured bacterium. RNAcentral's name for it is "partial 16S ribosomal RNA". It matches the Rfam family "Bacterial small subunit ribosomal RNA", at positions 333 to 578 of the family's 1533-position model. The record is from RNAcentral.
UCAGCCCUACGGGGGGCAGCAGUGAGGAAUAUUGGUCAAUGGGCGGAAGCCUGAACCAGCCAAGUCGCGUGAGGGAAUAAGGCCCUACGGGUCGUAAACCUCUUUUGCCGGGGAGCAAGGGCCGGGACGAGUCCCGGUCCGGAGAGUACCCGGAGAAAAAGCAUCGGCUAACUCCGUGCGAGGAGCCGCGGCAAUACGGAGGAUGCGAGCGUUAUCCGGAUUUAUUGGGUUUAAAGGGUGCGGAGGCGG